Molecule: long non-coding RNA, 32561 nt
Filed under: Solanum tuberosum (potato)
Lineage: Eukaryota; Viridiplantae; Streptophyta; Magnoliopsida; Solanales; Solanaceae
Description: long non-coding RNA (STUB_LNC005119)
Source: RNAcentral
CGCACAUGUGUAUAAUUUGAUAGUAAAGGAUGGUGUUUCUCAAUUUGGAAUUUCUUGUGAAAAAAUUAGACUUGCUUGUAAUUGGAUUUUUAAAGCUAAAAUAAAAGCUAGAAUUACAGAAUUUAAAAAUCGUUGUAAAGAAUGUGGACUUGAAUAUAGAAAAGUUCCAAAAGAAGUAUGCACUAGAUGGAAUUCUUUAUUUGAAAUGCUUCAAGUUGCUUAUAUUUAUCAAGAGCCGGUACAAUUAGUUUUUAAUGCUCAUAAUGCGGACCCGAAUUUGAGAAUUGGCUAUGAAGAUUGGGAAAAUACAAAAGAACUUAUUGAAUUUUUAAGUGUUUUUUAUAAAGCAACAAAUGUUGCUUCUGGUCAAUAUUAUCCAACUAUUUCUUCUGUUUUAGUAAAUAUUUGUGCUAUUUCAUCUGAAUUUGCAAAAUAUAAAGGAAAAGAUCGAUUUGAAAAUUCUCUUGCUUUUAUGAUUGAAAAAUUCAAAAAAUAUUUUUUCCCUAUUCCUCAAAUCUAUUUGACUGCUACUACUUUCAACCCAAAUUACAAAUUAAAAGGUGUUGAAAGAAUGGUUGAAAAGAUUUAUGCAAAUUUAGAAAUUAGAGAUGAUGAAACUCCUAGUGUUGAAGAUUGUAAAAGUAGCAUAUAUAUAAAAGCUAGAGAGUUAUAUAAUACAUAUAAAUCUAUGGAAAAAAAUAUUCCAAUAGUUGAACCUCCAUCUUGUAGGCCUAGAAGUGAUGAUACGGAUGAUUGGAUGGAUGAUUAUCUUGAGCUUGAAUCAUCUACUAAUAAUGAUUUUGAUUUAUAUUUCAAUCAGGGGGAAAAGAUUAGGCAUGAAGAAGGACAACUUCAAGCUCCAAUAUUAGUAUGGUGGAAGAAUUGUGAAAAUCAAUUUCCGACCUUGCUAGGAUUGUUCGAGAUGCGCUAGCGUUCGGAGCAAGCCUUUCGUGUGGCGAGAUUUAUGAUUGGAGAUCAUCGAUAUUCAUUAGCAAAGGAUAGUUUGGAAAUAUCGGUGUUGUUUCGAUAUUGGGUCAAUGCCGAAAGAAGAAAUACCAAACUAUCACAAAUAAAUAGCCAAAUAGAAGACGAAAUAGAUGAAAUAUUUGGUGAUAAUAGUGAUGAUGGCAUGGAAGCAAUGGAAGAAUACAAGUUCCAAAAAAUGUUUCUUUUGAAAUGAUACAAAUUAAAGUUACGAAAAGAUUUUUAAAAAAGUUUCAAUUGUUAGUAGUUAGUACUUAGUACAAUAAUUAAUAUUCAAUACCUAGAUUAUGUACUCUUUGUCUCUUUCUAAUAUUUGUAUUGUACAAUUUAUUUAUUUGAAUAAAUAUACGGCUAUUCGCCUUGAUUUUCUUUUAAAAAUAGUCUUUUAUAUUUAAUCCAACUAUCCAAGGCAUUUUACAAAUUUAAUUUUAAUUAUUUUAAUAUUAGUUUAAACUUUAAACUUUAAUAUAAAAUUAAAUUUUAAGAUAUAAACUUUAAAUUCAAUAUAAAUUUUAAACUUUAAAGUUUAAAGUCAAUUUUAAACUUUAAAUUCAAUUGAAACUUUAAAGUUUAAAGUUUUAAAUUGAAGUUUUUUAAUAAUAUAAUAUUAUAUAAUAAUUAAAGUUAAUAAAAAAAAUGCCGGUACACAAUGAUCCGGUAAGAACCGGUUCCGGUCCGAUCCAAAUCGGUUCCUAUCCGGUAACUAAGGGACUGGGUGGAACCUUUGGGAAUUUUUGAUAAAACCAGUUCCGGUAAGAUCCGAUUCCGGUAAAUAAAUUCGGUAACGUGUCCCGAUUUCGGUAAAAUCGGUCCUGUCCGAUUGCUAGCCUUAGCUUCAGCUGAGCUCUUGGACACUAUAGUUUGCUUCUUUGUCUUCCAUGACACCAAUGAGUUGCGUAUCUUAACCACAUAACCUGUUACUGAUCUUUUGGUAAGUGGACAACAUGCCCAAUCUGCAUCACAAAAUGGAGUGACUACUUCAUCAGAAGAUCUAGAAAACAGUUACCCCUGUCCAGGCUGUUUUUCAGAUAUCUCACUACUCUUAACGCCGAAUCCAUCUGGGAUUUCUUUGGCUGUUAUAAGAACUGGCUCAGGUUCUGUGUUUUGAAAGACAAGUCUGGUCUUGUCAUGUUCAGAUGCAACAGUUUUCCAAUUAACCUUUGGUACAUUGUCUGAUCUACUAAAGGAUCUUCAGGAGCUCCAUGUCUUUUCUUAUGUUCAUCAUACCCUUAUGCAGGCUUAGCUACUGACAUUCCAACCUCAGCUAUAAGUUUCAAAGCAUACUUUCUUUGAUGCAUCAAUAUACCCUCUGCUGACCUAGUGAACUCAAUGCCCAGAAAAUAUUUUAGUUCACCUAAGUCCUUCAUUUUAAAAACCUGUUGCAACUCCAACUUUGUCUUUUCUAUUAACUUCAAACUGCUGCCUGUAAUCAUCAUAUCAUCCACAUAUAUUAACACCACAAUAAUACAUGUUUCUGACUUAUUGACAAAUAGAGAAUGAUCAUAUUGACUUUGUUUGGAAUUGAGUAUAGUAAGAGCCUCAGUCAGCUUGUGGUUCUACUGCCUUGGAGCCUGUUUUAGCCUAUAUAAUGACUUUGUUAGUCUGCAUACUUUCUCCCCUUGACUAACAAAGCCUUGAGGGAGCUGCAUAUAAAUCUCAUCUUCAAGAUCACCCUGCAAAAAGGCAUUGAAAACAUCCAAUUGAUGAAUGUGCCAGUGUCUUUAAGCAGCUAAAGACACCACUGUCCUCAUAGUCACCAUCUUCACAAUAGGUGAAAAGGUUUCUUGAUAGUCUAUACCUUCCAACUGACUAUACCCCUUAGCAACUAACCUAGCUUUAAACCUUUAUAUCUCUCCUGUGGAGUUGUAUUUAAUUUUGUAAACCCACAUGCAACCAAUAGGUUUCUUUCCUGUUAGCAGAUCAGUUAUCUCCUAAGUUUUAUUAUCUUCAAGAGCCUGAAUCUCAGCCUUAAUAACAUCUACCCACCUAGUGUCCUUCACAAACUCUGAAUAGGUGGUAGGUUCUCUAACUGAAGAUGUAGCAACAAUAUAUGACUGAUAAGUAGGAGACAGAUGAUUGUAACUUAUAUAAUUGCACACAAGAUAUUUCACUUCUGAAUGCAUUUUUGAGGAGACAAAAUCUUUGAGCCAUGAAGGGGUAUGUUUGGUUCUUGUAGAUCUUCUGGGAACAGCUGGCAUACCAGUUUCUGUGACUGCUGGAACUGGUUCCUCAACUGGAGCAGAAACAUCUGAAGAGAUAACCUCAACAUUUGGUAACACAGAUGAACCUUCAAGACAGGAUAGUUCAUCAUUGAUAGAACUAGGUGUUUGAAAGGACUGAGUAGUGAAGGUAUCAAAUAGAACAACUAAAUUUGGCAGUGGAUUUUGAAACAAGGAAUGACUUUCAGGCAUCUUAAUCUGUGAGAAAGGAAACAGAUCCUCUCUAAAUAUAACAUCUCUGCUCACAAAGAAUGUCUUAGCAGUGAGAUCAAAUAAAGCAUAACCAUUAUGUGUCUCUGAAUACCCCAUAUGUACUGCAGACUUAGAUCUUGACAUCAUCUUGUCAUGUUUAACUAGAUUUUUGGCAAGACACAAACACCCAAUAGUUCUUAAGUGUGUCAAUCUAGGCUUACUUCCAUAUAAUCUUUCAUAGAGACUUUGAUAGUUAAGAACACUACUAGGAACUCUAUAGAUGAGAUAGGCUGCAGCUAGAACACAAUGUCCUCAAUAUUUCAAUGGAAUCUUACCCUGAAAUCUCAAUGCCCUUGUCACUUCUAGUAAGUGUCUAUGUUUUCUCUCAGCUACCCCAUUUUGCUGAGGGGUAUAAGGACAAGACCUUUGAUGAAUAAUACCCAAAUCCUGAAACAUUGUAGUACAAACUAAGUUUACAAAUUCAGUACCAUUGUCAGAUCUUAUCACCUUGACUUGUUUAGCAAAUUGAUUCUUAACAUAUUGUAGAAAAACAUUUAAUGCCACACACACAUCAAACUUGUAUUUAAGUAAGAAGAGCCAAGUCAUUCUGGAAAAAUCAUCAACAAUGGUAAGGAAAUACUUGUUGCCAUCAAAAGUAGACGUAUUGUAUGGACCCCAAAGAUCAACAUGAAUCAAGUCAAAGCUAUUACAACUUUUGUUACUACUAGAUGGAAAAGUAAGUCUAGUCUGUUUUGCAUAAGGACAUACUAAACAGUUGGAAACUUUACACAUACUAUUGAUAUUCUAAUCAAACAUUUUAGCUAGUACUAUAGAUGACACAUGUCCUAGCCUUUGAUGUCACAAUUCCAUAUCAGAUGAUAUUUGAGCUACUGUCAAUGCAGUAUUCUUUUCAUCACUUCCAGGACCUUGAGUAUACAGACACCCUGCUUCUUUACCAACCACUCUCACCUUCCCACUGUAAAGCUCCUGGAGAAUACAGAAGUUAAGGAAGAAUGUUACUGAACAAUCAAGUUCCUUUGUCAACUGAUUUACAAACAUCAAAAUAUACUUAAAUUUAGGUAAGUAAAAUACAUUGGAGAUAACACUCAUAUCUGUUAUUGCACAAGAACCAACAUGAGUGACCUGAGUAGUACCCCUAUUAGGCAGUUAUACAACUUUAGGAAUCUGUAAGUCUGACACAGAACCUUUUAUAAAUAUGUUCAUCUAAGAAACCAUGUGAUUUGUUGCACCAGAAUCUACAAUCCACACUUCAUUGUUCUCAGAUACAAACUAGGAUUUACAUACAGUGUGAGCAGCAAAAGUGGUAUUGCUCUCAAAUGUUGCAGUGCCUUGGUUUUGUGUGAGACCUCUAAGAAUAUGAUCAUACUGUUCUUUUGUGAAUGUGCAACCCUUCAGUAAUUGUUUCACAUUCAUCUCUGCUUGACUUGCUGCUUUUCCAAUCUCACUUUGUGCAGUAGCAAACUUCAGAUCACAUCAUGCUUCAUGCACAUUAGUAUUGAAGUCAUAAGAAAAAUGAGCCUGACCAGGAUUAUUGUAGCCUGAAGAAACACCACCUGGAGCAGGAUUAUUGUAACCUGAGCGAACACCACCUGGAGCAGGAUUGUUGUAGCCUGAAGGAACACCUUGAACUUAUUUUUGGACUUGAAAUCAGGAGGAUACCCCACAAUUUUGUAGCAAAAUUCUUUACUAUGACCCUUACAUUUACAGAAAUCACAAAUGAGAAGGGGGUUUCUUUUAAUCCUUUGAUUUACUCCUGAAGUAGAACCAACAACAUAUUUAGAGUACAUUGCCAUAGAAUCUAUACUCUCAGCACUCAGCCCUAUGUUGCUAAUGUGUGAAACCACGGCCUUUUGACUCUCAUCUCCUACUACCAUAUCAUACGCAUGAUUAACUGUUGGUAAGGGAUUCAUCAUUAAAAUUUGACUUCUAGCCUGAUUAUAAGACUCAUUAAGCCCCAUUAAAAACUGACAUAAUUUUUGUCUGCUCAGGUGAAUUACAAAAUCUUUCGACUUAGCACAAUUGCAUCCAGGAGAAGGAACUACAGCCUCAAACUCAUCCCACAAGGUUUUGAGUUUGGUGUAAUACGCAGAAAUAGAAACAGUUCCCUGUUGCAGUGACACAAUGUCUUUAUAAAGACUAUAGGUUCUCGACUCAUCUACUCUAUCAAAUCUCUCAUUUAAAUCACUCCAAACAUGAGAAACACUUGUAGCAAAUGCAAUUCUACUUAGUAAACUUUUUGACACUGAAUUCAUCAACCAUGAUAGUACUAUAACAUUCACUCUCUCCCAUUGUGCCCACAAUUCUUCACUGAACAUCUCUUUACUACAGGUUCCAUCAAUUAACCCCAGUUUAUUGCGUCCUAACAAUGCUAGUGUAAUCGAUCUAUUCCAUAGAGAGUAGUUUUCAAUUCCAAGUAAUUGAAACGAAAUAAGAUUCACUCCACUUAAAUUUGUAGGACUAAGAAAAAGAGGAUGACUGUAGUCAAUACCUUGCCCAAUUACAAAAUUAGGUAUCGACAUUGAUACACCUGUGUUUUCACCAUUGUUGCCUUGAAUCGAAUCUGCAGUUGUUCUCCCAUUCGUCAUCCUGAUUCAUUGUUGAUCAACAAUUGUUUGCGGAAGCUAAUUACUCAUCAAUUACCUACAGAUUUCACCCAAGAACUUGCGUAAAAGCUAUAGAUCAACUGACAAACUGAUGAAUCUGUAACUCGAUUAUAUGAUCCUCAAUUGAAAUCGCCUAUCACAGUAAUUAUUGUGUGUGGCUCUGAUAUCAUGAACGUAAAUGAACGAAGCUGAAUUAACACAAAAUCUCCAUUAACAAGGAGCUAACAUUGAAGGAGAGAAACUCUCAUUGUUUGAGCUCAAAGAUUAAUUGUUACAAUGCUGAAAAAUACUAUUUGUAGAUUCUAUCUUCUAACUAACUAACUAACUUGAAAGGAAUUAGUUAUAACAGACAAUACAAAAUGUCUAUACUACCCUUGAUCAUCUAGUGAAUUAACCAACUACUCACUACAUCACACUCAUAUCUCAUCAAGAAGCAAUAGUGUUAUUCCCACUUACUUUUCCGCAUCACUCGACUCCUUAACCUCCCAAUUAAUAACGGAGAUGCUCAACCACUAAAGCAGACUUUCUUUUCUAUCGUUAUUUUUAUUAAAUAGAGGAAUUUCUAAGUAACACUUGCAAACAAACGAAAAUGAGAUCACUUCCUUAGCAAAUACAACCAAAACUGAAAUCACUAUUUUAAUUUCAUAUUAAAAUCGCCUUCGGCCUUAAGAUUUAACUUUGAUUUUAUUGAACCAGAACUUGUUAAAUAAUACAUUCCAAAUUUGCUGAUCUUUCUGUUUGCUAGUGGGAACUUUGUUUUUAAUGCAAUAUCCAAUUUACACUCAGGGAAUUAAAUAAAUUCUAUCUUGUAUUAUGUGUAUAUAUAAUAGUAGUAAAUAAUAUAGAAUUAAAAAAAAAAAACUCCCUAUUUUGGAAAUACGUUGAGACGUCAUUGUUGACGGCAUAAUUCCGAACAAAAAGUAAAAGAAAAUGAGCGGAAGGCCAAGUCAAAUUUUACUUACUCCCUCUAUUCCAUAUUAUCUGGAUUUUCGAGGGUUUUUUUAGUUGUUCAAAAUAGUUUAAAGUUUAAGAUGAAUGUUUGAUUUAUUUAUUUUUUUCAUAUUUUUCCUUUUAUUUAUUGAAGUUUUAUAUUUUCUAGAAGACAAAAUUAUUACACUAUUUACAAAGGGCAAUACUGAAAAUUAUGAUUUAAAUUAUGUCGUUGAAUACUUUUCUUAAUAUGUAUGUAUUGCCUCAUAUGGAAUAGAUGAGUAUCAUUCAUUCACCUGUUGCUUUCAUAGACUCUUUACGUAUUCCCCAAGCCUAUGAAAUAAAUGAACAAUAUCUAUCUAUAAAUACACCUUCAUUACUACAUUCCCCAUUAACAAUACUCAAUUUUCUCCAAAUUUUCAGCCUUACUAACAAUCUUUUCUAAGCAAACUUGUUGAAUAUAAUGGCAGUGCUAGUGCUUAUCUUGCAGAAGCUUAUGUCACAAGGAAACAAUUCAAGGAAAAGGUGAUGGAGAAAAUGGACAAUAAUAAAGAAGUUGCGGAUAUUAAGAAGCUGAAAAAUUCAUCUUCUUCUUCUUCGGGUGGUGGUUGUUUUUCUCCCAUGAAACUAAUAUUCAAGAGAGUCCAUCCUAAUACUACGGCGGCUGCGCCGUCAUCCGAUGAGCCCUAACAGUUGCCGCCGGUAGAGUUCUCUUCUAGCUAGGGAUAUUUCUAAAGCCAAAACUGUAUUUAUUUAUUUAUUUAUUUCUGUUUUAUUUUAUUUUAUCAUGUCUUUGGAAUUAUAUAUAUGGAUUCAAAUUCAACCAGACUGAUAUGAUGAAAUAUGCUUAAAGAAUUUAAUUCUACAUUUCAUAUUACUCUCCUCUGUCUAACAAUAAGUCAAUACUUGUCCACUAUAUUAAAAAUAGAUGUCCAACAAUACUUGUUCACUUUAUGAAAUGCAUGGAUAAUUUUAUUCUUAGUCCCUAACUUACCCUUAUCAUUAAUUAUAGUCAUUUCCCUAUUACAUUUUUAAGACAUUGUAUUUAUUAUAUUCAAAGGGUGAUAUAGUACCCUUCUUGUCACGACCCAGACCAUCGUGAUUGACACCCACACUAACAAUUCGGUGGGAGAACCACUACUACAACUCAAACCAAGCAAUCAAUCUAAAAACUAAGGCAUAUAAGUCAAAUACUAAGGAAAGAAAAUAGAGUUUUCAUUAACUCUAACAAAAGUUCAACAAUAACUAACAAAUGCGGAAGAAUUAACCUAGAACCUGAAAAUCAAUAUAUCAAAAUUCUACUAACGACAAGUCUAAGAACAAGGGUUACAACCCCGAAACUAAACAACACCUUAAACAAAAGUCUGAAAAGAGUGGACUUAAACAAGAGAGAUCCAUGGCAGUCUGAAAGAACUGAUUCACCCUUGAAUCCGGUCACGAUCAUUAGUCACCUAGCUGAAGUCUAUCAAUAGCCACCUGAAAAUACUCUGUACUCAACAAAUAAAGAGCAAGUACAGUAUCAAUACACAACCACAAUGUACUAGUAGGAUCACGCGGCUAUCCCACUAAGUGUAACAUACAUUAGUCAAUACACUUUUGAUGUGUUGUGUUGUAGCUUCUUUCUUUUCGAGACUUGACAGUAAUAUCACAAUAUCAUCAGCUUCUAACUCUAUUGAGUCCAAAGUUAGGCUCUUUAGAGAGUUCCAAGCUAUGUUCAAUCCUUUAUCAAACACCCAAUGGCUCAAAUACAAUGUAAUCAAUGACGAACAAGUGUACAUAGUUAAAGGCAAUUCAUAAGCGAGAUCAUCAGCACUUGGAUAAAAACAUAAACCCGCAUCUAACGCAACAUCUUCUACUUUGUUUUCCACAGUAAAAUUGAGCCAUUGGCUGAUUUCCGAAUGAAAUUUCCAGUCUCUAUGAUGAAAAUCGAGUUUGAUUUUUUUGAUUUUGGAACAAGUUGAAUGAGUUAAAACGUUGUCCACAAAGGAUAUGAAGUUUUCGAGUUUGUUGUAAUUUCUAUUACUGAAAAGGAAAGUAUGAAUUGAAGUCCAGAGAUAACGCCACCUCUUUGAGAGAACACAUGAUUUGACGGCAUCUUCGGUCGGCAAAAGAGAGAGAAUUUGUACCAGGAGAACGUCCGGCAACUCAUUGAUACGAUCUAGGGUUUCGACUCCAUCUCCGGGGACUGUUCUUUGAGUUAAUUGUUUUUUGAGAUAAAAAUGACCAGAUAUCAUUGAAAUAUUUCAAAAAAAAUUAAUAUGGGGUGAAAGUGAUAUUUCUUGAAUAGUAUUGUUCUUUACUUUAGUCUUUACUCAAUUUGGUAAACAAACUUAACCAAUAAAACAGAAAAAUAAUAUGAAGAUAAGAAAAUUGUCAGCAAUAACUUUUCCUCGUGAGGUUAUGACUGUAAAUGACGGACACCAUUUAAGUACAAUUAUUCUCUUAGAUAUUAAUACUUGAAAUUUAAUAUGUGCAUGACACUAAGAACGAUUGUCAUAAAUAUUUUAAUAUUUUAUCUUUAAACAUGAUAUAUCUUUUACAAAAUAUUAUUAUUCAAUUAAUAUUUGAGUAAGGCUAUGAUAUAGAUGUAAUUUUACAAAAACAAAAAUUGUAAGUGAAUGUCAAUACUUUUAUAAGUAGAAUGUUAUAGAGAAAAAUAUAUUACGUCAAUAGUUAGUUUUAAUGAAAAUUAUCCUUUAGUUUGCCGCAUAUAUAUUAUAUAGAUGUUAUCUUAUGAGAGUAUCUAGUAUAUUAUAGAUGUUCUAUUGUGAUAUAAAACAUUAAACAUUUUCAAUUAAAAAAUUAAAAGAAGAAUAAAAUUUAAAGUAUUAUUUAUAGAAUCUUUAAUUUGAUUUAAGAUCAUUUUAUGAUUAAUCACUAUUUUUUUUAUCAUUUUUAUAUAGCUAGAAAAAAGUGUAUCUUGUGACAUAACAUUUUCUUAGAUCAAAAUGAACACAAAAUAACAGAAAAUUCAUACUUAAAAUAUCAUACUCAACAUAAAUAUAAAAAAAGUAAAAAUAUGUGGAUCAAUUCAUAGCCAAUGAAGAAGGAAGGCGAAAAUAUACGUUCAUGAUAUAUUCACCCUAGUGUUCAUUUGAUUGAAAUCUCUUGCCACUAAUACUUUACUUUCUCCAUUCAUUUUUACUUACAUAUAUAUUAAAAAAUUAUUAUUAUCAUGGUCAGAUUAUCAUAUUAUAAGUAAAAGUGAAAAUCUAUUUUUGAAAAAGUAGACUUAACAUCAAAACUAUUAAUUCAAUGGACUACAUUGAUGCCCGAUGUUUUAGCAAAAUUUGGAAGAAACUUCAAUUGAUGUUAAAAAAAUAAGAAAUGGAAAUACAAAAAAGAAAUAUCUUACCUCAAUCAUGUGUCUCUUUUGUAUUUGUUCAUUAUUAUUGUCUCUUCCACAUCUUUAUCUAUUUAUUUUAUUAGAAAAAAUAAUCAACAAUGUGUGUAUUUAAAUUCUCUCUCGAAUGAAAACACAAAAGAAAUUAUUCAAGAAACAAAAUAAGAAAAAUAAAUGAAAAUUUCCGCGCAGUAUAUAUAGAAGAUUUCUGUGUGAAGCAAAAUUCAUAGAUAAUUGCAUAUUUCCUUGUUCUCUUUUUUUCUUCUUUAAUAGAAAGUCAAUAGCUAAAUUCCUAUGCUAAGAACUUCGGCAAAACAUAUCAAUGGAUUGGGGAUGAAUCAUUUAUGAAAAAUUUAAAUGAUCUCAAAUUGUCACAGAAAAGAGAUCCCCAAGAAUUUAUAAGGAGUGAAUGGUUGUGAUUUAUGACCGAAGAAACAUGAAGGUAGAAAUUGAUGUGACUAUUAGUAGGAAAUUACUCUCUUUUUUUAAUGAAUAAAACAUGUAGGUUAAUUAAAAGAGUAUUAAUGUUCAAAAUAAUAUAAAUAAUAUUGAUGUAUACAUGUGAUGAGGAAAACAUUAGUGUGAAUUGAUGAAUGAUUUGCUACAAUUUGUUCACCAUCUCUUUCUUAUGUGGUACCUCAAAUUUCGUUGGGUUCCGAACUUAAUCAACUAUUGCAAAUAACAAUUGAGAUUUUUCAAGAAGAAGAAGAGUAUAAAACAUGAAAAAAUUGUAGUUUAAAAGUGAGAGGAAACCCCUAUAUUUAUAGUUAAUAAAUAGUAGUAUGAAUAUGUUCUGAUUGUGCCUUAUUAGAUAAGUUACAACCCUUCAAAAAACUCUCUGAUCAUCGGAAAAGACAUAACCCUUUGACUUAGUCACAACCCUUUGGAAAAGUCACAACUCAUCGCAAAAGUCACAAUCCAUUAAUGUGAAAAGGUAUCAACUUUUACUAUAACAUAAUUAAAUAAAUUGAGUAUUUUUAAUUGGGGAUAUUAUAGUAAUUCAACAUUCAUGUUGGGAGUUCAUGCUUUUAAGGUAGUAUAGAUAGAUAUAGAUUAAUUAAUAAUUCAUGGUUAUAAACUUAUAGUUUAGGUAUUUAUCAUUUAUAGCAAGAUGUUAGGCAAAAAAAAAAGGUGGCAUGUGAGUAUAUUCAUUGUAUUCAUAUACACAUUUAGGUUGUGAAUAUAGAUUGUAUCGAUGUAUAUUAUUCGGUGUAUACAAAUAUAAGCAACAAAAAAUAUAUGGUCUUUAUUUAUUCGAGCUAUAAUUUAACUUGUAUUCAUUUGCUCUAAUUUCACUUAUAUUUCUUGUAUUCCUACGUGCAUUUAGACUAUAUUAACUAAUACAAUUUGGGUGUAUAUAAAGUACAAAAGAUACCAUGUACGCAUUUGCUCUAAAUUCACUUGUACUCAUUCGUUUUAAUAUAAAAAUACAAUUACAGAGAAAAAGGGGCGAAAAUAUUUAUGAUUUCUUAAGCACCCUAUAAAAUAGAAAGUGAUCAAAACAUUCAACAAAAGCAGAAUGAGCUUUCGAAAUCGGUAAUGUAAAGUUGAUAAGUACUAAAUAUUGAAUUUUUACCGAAAAUUAAAUUCUUGUACGAUAAUUUAAAAAUUAUAUAUUUAAUAAAAAGAAAUUUUUAUAAGAUUGCAUAAUAUAUAUGUCCAGUAUUGCUUUUAGAAAAAUCACAUAUAAAGGUUGUAGAUUCUCUCUCUCAAAUCCUAACAUUAUAAAUUCAUCAGUUUAGAUCAAUUAAAAUGUGUAGUGUUGUAGUCUGUGGGUACAUAAUAGCUAGUGGUUUACAGUAAAUUAAAAGUUGGUGGUGAUGAUUGAUAGUGAUAGUUAAUGACGAUGAUGAUUGUUGACAGUGGUGGACGAUAUAGAGUACUACUAGUGACUAUAUAUGGUGAUAAUUGUCAAUAGUGAUUAAUAAUGCAUUAUUAUAAAUAUAGUUGAUAGUAAUAAUUGUAAAUGAUGGCGAAUGAUGAUAACUAUCAACAAAGGUGGUAAUGUUAAUUACUCAGUUGAUAAUCGUGGGUGGCAACGAAAACAACAACAUUCAUUCACCUGUUGCUUUCAUAAAAAUAAUUGGUUCACUCUUUACGUAUUCCCCAAGCCUAUGAAAUAAAUAAAUAAAAUAUCUAUCGAUCUAUAAAUAUCUCUUUAUUAUUAUCAUCAUUCGAUCCAUAUAUUUCCAUUAACAAUACUCUUAAAUAAAUUCCUCAAGGAUUUAUUUCUCUAAAAUUUCAGCAUUGUUGAAUAUAAUGGCGAGUGGUAGUGCUUAUCUUGCGGAAGCUUAUGUCACAAGGAAAGAAUUCAAGGAAAAGAUAAUCGAGAAGAAAAUGGACAGUGAAGCUGUGAAUACUAAGACGCUGAAAAAUACAUCGUCUUCUUCUUCGGGUUGUGGUUGCUUUUCUCCCAUGAAAAUAAUAUUCAUCUAAACAGUACUACUACUACCCCUCAUCGGGUUCCGCCGUGAUCAUGAAACUGGACAGUGGCCAGUUUCCACGUGAUCAAAGGCGAAACCCGGGAAUGAAGACGACGGGAGCACUACUAGAGACUGAUGUUGGUUAGUCAAAACUUUAUCGGAAAAUGUUACUAUAUAUCAAACAAGUAUAAAAUCAAAGGUAUUGAAAUAAAUAUAAAUUAAACAAAAAUACAACAUGGUUCUUUGUAUAUAUGAUUUAUGAUCUUGACCCGUGUACAAUUUGAGGUUGCUAAUUCGAAUUUUGCCUCAGCUUUUUAUAUGCAUUUUUUUUUUUAUAUAAUAAAAAAGAAGAAGAUGACAAUAAGAAAACGCAAUAAUCAAGAAUUGAAUUCGGGACAGUUUGCUUCACGAUCAGUGUUGGACCAAUGCACCAAUUCAGCUUACGUAUAUAUACAUAACUUCUUUCUAAGCUAAUUAACGAGUGUAUGUAUUGAAGUCAGUAAUAUGGUUAGUUCAGUUAGUUACUGUGGGCCUGGCAGCUAGGUGAUUAGCACUCAUAAGAAGUUAGUUAAAAAGUGCAGUGAGUUAGUUAUCAUUCAUGACAAUUAGAAUGAGUGAUCAUAUUGUAUAAAUACAUUGUAUUUCUGUUCAUAUUAUUCAUAAUGAAUAUAGUCUUCUUUCUUCUCUAGUUACACUUUCAUAGAUCUGUAAGAUCAAAUCAAAGUUUAUGAAUGUCAAACUCAAUUUAUAGUCUUCUUUCUUCUCUAGUUACACUUUCAUAGAUCUGUAAGAUCAAAUCAAAGUUUAUGAAUGUCAAACUCAAUUUAUAGUCUUCUUUCUUCUCUAGUUACACUUUCAUAGAUCUGUAAGAUCAAAUCAAAGUUUAUGAAUGUCAAACUCAAUUUAUAGUCUUCUUUCUUCUCUAGUUACACUUUCAUAGAUCUGUAAGAUCAAAUCAAAGUUUAUGAAUGUCAAACUCAAUUUAUAGUCUUCUUUCUUCUCUAGUUACACUUUCAUAGAUCUGUAAGAUCAAAUCAAAGUUUAUGAAUGUCAAACUCAAUUUAUAGUCUUCUUUCUUCUCUAGUUACACUUUCAUAGAUCUGUAAGAUCAAAUCAAAGUUUAUGAAUGUCAAACUCAAUUUAUAGUCUUCUUUCUUCUCUAGUUACACUUUCAUAGAUCUGUAAGAUCAAAUCAAAGUUUAUGAAUGUCAAACUCAAUUUAUAGUCUUCUUUCUUCUCUAGUUACACUUUCAUAGAUCUGUAAGAUCAGAUCAAAGUUCAUGAAUGUCAAACUCAAUUAAGUGUUUGGAUUCACAACUUAUCAUGGUAUCAGAGCAGGGAUCUCUGCUCUAGAUCGUCUUCCGCAAAGUACAUUUUCCAGCUUGUCAUUAGCUUCAACAAUGGCAGAUUUGAUAGUUGCCACUCUACCACAUCAUCAUCCACUGUAUUUACAGUCUUCAGAUACACCAGGUGUAGCCUUACACACGAUCAAGCUUACAGGACCAGAAAACUAUGGACUAUGGAGUAGAUCGAUGAGGCUGGCAUUAUUGGUGAAAAAUAAGCUAGGUUUUGUAGAUGGAACCUGCCUGAAGAGUCUGUACAAAGAUGAAUUGGCUGCUCAAUGGGAGAGGUGCAAUGCAGUGGUUCUAUCAUGGAUUAGCAGUACAGUGGCUCCAAAUUUGCUAACUACAAUCAUGUAUGCAUCAAAUGCUAGAAAAGUUUGGGAGGAUUUCAAAGAAAGGUUUGACAAAUCAAAUCUCACAAGAGUUUAUCAGUUGUGGAUAGAUGUUGCAAGCCUUAAGCAAGGUACUGACUCUGUCACUGACUAUUAUUCCAGAUUAAGAGACUUAUGGAAUGAGUUUGAUGUACUUGUACCAUUUCCUUCUUGUGAAUGUGCUGAAGCAAAGUCCUACACGAAUCACUUGCAUCAACAGAGAUUAUUGAUGUUUUUGAUGGGGCUGAAUGAAGCCUAUAGUCAUGUAAGGAGUGAUAUACUUCUUAAAUCAGAAGCACCUAGUGUUAAUCAAGCUUACUCUAUUGUAGUGCAAGAAGAAAGUCAAAGAGUGUUAGGUGUAGGUUGAUUCCUACAAAGAGCCACUUACUAUGUUGGCUGGUAGAGGACAAAAUUACAAAGGAAAAAACCACUUCUAGAUACUCCAUGUGAGAUCUGUGGAUUUAGAAAUCACAUUACUGCUGACUGUUAAAGACUGGUAGGGUAUUCAUCAGAUUUUAAAAGCAAAAGGAAACCUCCACAAACAGGAUCCAAUACAUCAAGUUCUUAUCAUUGUGGUGCUAGUGCUGGCAUAUCUGGAAACUCUAGUCAUACAGGUACUGGUAAUUUCAGAUCUUAUGCUAAUAAUGCAGCUGCUGAUAAAGAAGACAAGGGUCACAAUGAGCUUAGCAAUGAUGAACUAGAUAAGGUCAGGACAAUGCUGCAUCAUAAGGACACACAGGAAUGCCAAGCCAAUAUGACAGGUAAUGUGUCUCUUUCAAGCUCACAAUGUGUACAUGAAUGGAUAUUGAUUCAGGAGCGACACAUCAUGUUACCUCUUGUAAAAGCUUGUUGCAUGACUUGAAACAACUAAAGGGAUCCAAUACAGUACAACUACCAACAGGACUAAGAGCAGGCAUACUGCAUACUGCAUACUGGAAGCUCCACUAUUUUAGGGGAUCUUAAGUUGAAAGAUGUCUUGCAUGUACCUGAGUUCAAGUUCAGCCUAAUAUCAGUAGCCAAACUAACUAAGGACAUGUCUUGUAGUGUUAGUUUCUUUCCUAACAUUUGUAUAUUACAGGAUCUCUACAAUGGCAAGGUGAUUGGGAUUGGUAGAGAACACAAUGGUCUAUAUCUGUUAAAAGAUGAAAUAACUGCAGUUGCAGGGACAUCUGUUAGAACAGGGAAUCAGACUGAUCUAUGGCACAUCAGACUUGGCCACCCAUCUCUUAAAGCAAUGCAACACAUCUCUUCUCUCAAGGAUCAUGUGGAUGCUGGCAAGCCCUAUUGCUGUCAUACUUGCCCUUUAGCUAAGCAACGUAGAUUAGUUUUUCCUGUGAGUCAUAGUGCUUCAGAUCAUUGUUUUCAGUUAAUACAUGUAGAUGUAUGUGGACCUUACAAGACACCUACAUAUGACAAGAAACAGUAUUUUGUUACAAUUGUUGAUGAUUUUAGUAGGUUUACCUGGAUAUGUCUCAUUCAAUACAAAACUGAAGUGACUCUCAUUUUGAAAAAAAUUCUGACCAUGAUUUCCACACAGUUCAAUACUAAAGUACAGGUUGUUAGGACAGAUAAUGGUACAUAAUUCUUUAAUAUGGGUUGUAAUACUCUUUUUUCUUCCCUUGGUAUUGUACAUCAAAGUUCUUGUGCUUACACUCCACAAUAAAAUUGAGUGGUUGAGAGAAAUCAUAGGCAUAUUUUGGAGACUGCUAGGGCCUUAAGAUUUUAUAGUGGAAUGCCUAUUAAAUAUUGGGGUCAUUGUGUCAAAACAGCUACAUAUUUGAUUAACAAAGUCCCUAGUAGUGUAUUACAGGGCAAAUCUCCUUACACUGUGCUAUAUGGGAAGGAGCCUAACCUAAAUCACUUGAGGGUUUUUGGUUGUUUAUCCUUUGCAUCUGUCUUGCCCAGGCUAGAUAAGUUUGCUCCAAGAGCCAAAAAGGCAGUUAUGAUGGGUUAUUCAGAAACUCAAAAGGGAUAUAGACUAUUGAACCUGGAGAAUAAUCAGUUCUUUAUUAGUAGGGAUGUUACUUUCAUAGAGGACAUGUUUCCUUUCAAAGAAGAUCCUCAAGUGCCAGUGGAGUUAAUAUUGCAUGUUUCUGAAAUAUUUGUUAUUGGAGAUGAUAAGGUGCUUGAAACUAGCAAUCAUGACACACCAGUUAUAGUGUCACAUGAGUUACCUGAGGGAUUAGAAGCUGCAGAAGAGGUUAUUGUGCCUGAGCACUCACCUCAUGUUGACACACACAGAUGAAUUGAUCCAGCUCCAGUUGAAACAGUUGAUCCUGCUGAUGUUGCAGUUCCACCUGAAGAGACCAGAAGAACUAGGAAGCCACCCUUGUGGCACAAAGAUUAUAUAGUUCCACAGAAGAUCAAUUCAUCUUGUUUAUAUCCUAUUGAGGAUUACUUAUCCUACUCUAAUCUGAGUCGCACUUAUCAAUCCUAUGUAGCUGCAGUUUCUGGGGUUGUAGAGCCCUCUAAUUUCAGAGAAACAUCUCUUGACCAGGAGUGGAUAGAUGCAAUGCAGGCUGAGGUGAAUGCAUUGGAACAAAAUCAAACUUGGACCAUUGUUGAUCUGCAUAUUGGAAAGAAAGCUAUUGGGUCAAAAUGGGUGUACAAAAUCAAACAUAAAGCCAAUGGUGACAUAGAAAGAUACAAAGCAAGGUUGGUGGCCAAAGGGUACAACUGGCAGGAAGGCUUAGACUACCAUGAAACCUUUUCUCCAGUAGCCAAAAUGGUCACUGUGCGAACUGUUAUUGGAGUUGCAGCAUCUCACAACUGGCCUUUGUAUCAAAUGGAUGUGCAUAAUGCCUUCCUACAAGGUGACUUGACUGAAGAAGUAUACAUGACAUUACCUCAGGCCUUCCAGAGGCAGGGGGAGAACAAAGUUUGUAAACUUCUCAAGUCUCUAUAUGGACUUAAACAAGCCUCUAGGCAAUGGAAUCUUAAGCUGACUGAUGCUUUGGUUGAGGCUGGAUAUACACAAAGUCCCUAUGAUCAUUCACUAUUCACUAAGAAGAUUGGAACUGAUGUUGUUGUGGUCUUAGUAUAUGUGGAUGACCUACUCAUUACAGGUAGCAGCAAUAAAAUGAUUCAAGACAUAAAGGAUGCAUUGCACAACAACUUUAGCAUGAAGGAUCUUGGAGACCUUAGAUAUUUUCUAGGGAUUGAGAUACUGAGAUCAAGGACAGGAAUACUACUGAACCAAAGAAAGUAUGCACUAGAGCUGAUUUCUGAUUGUGUACUAAGUGGUUCUAAGCCAGCAGCUACACCAUUGGAGCCUAAUAAGAAGUUCACCUCAGUGGAUUAUGAUGAAUUCACAGGAAACACUAGUGAUCCUUUGUUCAAAGAUGUUACAGCCUACCAAAGGCUUGUUGGGAGGUUGUUGUACUUAACCAUAACAAGACUUGAUAUAUGCUUUGAUGUACAAGUACUGUCACAGUUCAUGCAAAGGCCAAAGAUGUCUCAUUGGGAAGCAGGGAUGAAACUAGUGAGAUACAUCAAGGGCUGUCCAGGGCUAGGAAUACUGCUAAGCAGUGAACCUAGUACACAGUUAGAAGGAUUUUGUGAUUCAGAUUGGGCAGCAUGUCCCAACACAAGAAGAUCAGUGACGGGGUAUACAAUAAAGCUAGGAAAUUCUCUUAUUUCUUGGAAGUCAAAGAAACAACAUACAGUGAGCAGAAGCUCAGCUGAAGCUAAAUACAGAAGUAUGGCUGCAACAGUUUCAGAAAUUAUAUGGCUGGUGGGAAUCUUAAAGGAGCUGAAUGUGAAUAUAGAGACACAUGUUAGGCUACAUUGCGACAGUAAAGCAGCAAUACAAAUCAGUGCUAAUCCUAUAUUCCAUGAGAGGACAAAGCAUAUUGAGAUUGACUGUCAUUUUGUGAGGGAGAAAGUCAAAGAUGGACUAAUACAGACAGAGUAUGUCAACACUAAAGAGCAACUAGCAGACCUGCUGACGAAAGGCUUGGGAGCUGCACAACAUCAUCUAUUAUUAGGCAAACUUGGAGUAUUUGAUGUAUACACAAACUCCAGCUUGAGGGGGAGUAUUGAAGUCAGUAAUAUGGUUAGUUCAGUUAGUUACUGUGGGCCUGACAGCUAGGUGAUUAGCACUCAUAAGAAGUUAGUUAAAAGUGCAGUGAGUUAGUUAUCAUUCAUGACAAUUAGAAUGAGUGAUCAUCUUGUAUAAAUACAUUGUAUUUCUGUUCAUAUUAUUCAUAAUGAAUAUAGUCUUCUUUCUUCUCUAGUUACACUUUCAUAGAUCUGUAAGAUCAAAUCAAAGUUCAUGAAUGUCAAACUCAAUUUAUAGUCUUCUUUCUUCUCUAGUUACACUUUCAUAGAUCUGUAAGAUCAAAUCAAAGUUCAUGAAUGUCAAACUCAAUUUAUAGUCUUCUUUCUUCUCUAGUUACACUUUCAUAGAUCUGUAAGAUCAAAUCAAAGUUCAUGAAUGUCAAACUCAAUUUAUAGUCUUCUUUCUUCUCUAGUUACACUUUCAUAGAUCUGUAAGAUCAGAUCAAAGUUCAUGAAUGUCAAACUCAAUUAAGUGUUUGGAUUCACAACUUAUCAGUAUGGACACCCCCUACCGCCUUUGCACGUGACGUGGUUAAAACAACAAGAUUAAAUGAUAUUUGAUAUAUUUAUACAUUUUUAAUUUAAAAUUAUAAUUCAAAAAUUUUCUUUUACUUUCUUAAAUUUCAUUUCAAAUUGAAAUGGAACAAAUAAAUUAAAACGAAAAGGGUAUAUUUCUUCAUCUUUCAUCGAUUUUAUUUUAAUAUCUAAACAUAUGAAAGAGAAAAUAAACAAGUCUAUUUGUUCAAAAUAAUGUUACGGGAAAUACUGAAAUUCUUACGUAGUAUCGCAUUUUAGUUAGUCGAUCAUUUCACAUGAAAAGGUUACAACCACCAAAGUUAUAUAGUAGGGGGGCUAAAUAAUUCAAUACUUAUCAUCGUUAUGUAAAGGCAUCGGAUUCAAAAUUGCAGAAUAAAUUGUCUUUUGACAAAAAACUUUUACCAUAAAUUAAAAUUUCCGUACUAUAAAUAUUCAAGAAAUUAAUUGGUACCCACACAAAUUGUAUGCAGGGGUUCGAAAAUAAAAUAUGGUGCCUAAAAUUUGAAGUAUAUUUUACAUAAAUCACAUAGUGUUAAGAGCUUAUUACAUUAUUUUCCUACUCUUUUUCAAAGUACAAACUAAAUCCCUUAAAAUUUAUGGAUUUCGGAUACAUCACUAGACUUUCAGAUACAUCACUGGACAUCCGGAUAUAUAGGUGAGGGAUGUAUCCGAGAGGGGAGGGAUGUAUCAGAGAGGGGAUAGGACAUCCGGAUACAUCACCGGACUUUCAGAUACAUCACUGGACAUCCGGAUACAUAGGUGAGGAUGUAUCAGAGAGGAGAGAGAUGUAUCGGAGAGGAGGAUAAGGAUGUAUCAGCCAGAGGAGAGUAAUGUAUCCGAGAGAGGAUUUUUGAACUUUUUUAAAAUAAUAGGAAAUUUUAGAGAUUAUGGUAAAAUAAAAUGUGUAUUUAGGUAAUUUUUCCAAAUUGAAACAUAGAACAUGAAUUUUGAAGUCUUCAAAUCACUAAAUUAACCUCUAGUCUUGCAAGCACGAAAUCCUUAGUCCACAUCACGGGUCAACGUACAUUUAUAACUAACCCCCAUAGAGGUUAUACUAGCUCUAAUAUAGCCAACAUUGCCACAAAUAUAAUUAGAUUGAAUCAGUAAAAAGAUAAUUAGAAAGUUUUCCACUAUGCAACGAAAACAAAAACAUUCAUUCACCUGUUGCUUUCAUAAAAAUUGGUUCACUUUUUACGUAUUCCCCAAGCCUAUGAAAUAAAUAAAUAAAUAUCUAUCGAUCUAUAAAUAUCUCUUUAUUAUUAUUAUCAUUCGAUCCAUAUAUUUCCCAUUAACAAUACUCUAAAAUUCCUCAACAAUGUCGAGUGGUAGUGCUUAUCUUGCGGAAGCUUAUGUCACAAGGAAACAAUUCAAGGAAAAGAUAAUCGAGAAGAAAAUGGACAGUGAAGCUGCGAAUAUUAAGAAGCUGAAAAAUACAUCGUCUUCUUCUUCAGGUGGUUGUGGUUGCUUUUCUCCCAUGAAAAUAAUAUUCAUCUAAACAGUACUACUACUACCCCUCAUCGGGUUCCGCCGUGAUCAUGAAACUGGACAGUGGCCAGUUUCCACGUGAUCAAAGGCGAAACCCGGGAAUGAAGACGACGGGAGCACUACUAGAGACUGAUGUUGGUUAGUCAAAGCAUUGGAAAAUGUUACUAUAUAUCAAACAAGUAUAAAAUCAAAGGUAUUGAAAUAAAUAUAAAUUAAACAAAAAUACAACAUGGUUCUUUGUAUAUAUGAUUUAUGAUCUUGACCCGUGUACAAUUUGAGGUUGCUAAUUCGAAUUUUGCUUCAGCUUUUUAUAUGCCUUUUUUAUAUAUAAUAAAAAAGAAGAAGAUGACAAUAAGAAAACGCAACAAUCAAGAAUUGAAUUCGCGGGACAGUUUGCUUCACGAUCAGUGUUGGACCAAUGCACCAAUUCAGCUUACGUAUAUAUACAUAACUUCUUUCGAAGCUAACGAGUGUAUGGAAUAAUGGAACCCCCCCCUACCUCAAACAUGGGUCUGCAUUUGCAGGUGACGUGGUUAAAACAACAAGAUUAACUGAUAUUUGAUAUAUUUACACAUUUUUAAUUUAAAAUUACAAUUUAAAAUUUUACUUUUACUUUCUUAAAUUUCAUGUCGAAUUGAAACGGAACAAAUAAAUUGAAACGAAAAGAGUAUGUUUCUUCUUUUAGUCGGUUUUAUUUUAAUAUCUAAGCAUAUGAAAGAGAAAAUAAAACAAGUCUAAUUUGUUCAAAAUAAUGUAACGGGAAAUACUGAGAUUCUUACGUAUUAUCGCAUUUUAUUUGUCGAUCAAUUCACAUGAAAAGGCAUCGGAUUCUAAAUUGCACCAUCAUCGGUUAUGUAAAGGCAUACUUAUCACCACCAAAGUUAUAUAUAGUAGGGUGGCUAAAUAAUUCAAUACUUAUCAUCGGUUAUGUAAAGGCAUCGGAUUCAAAAUUGCACAAUAAAAUGGAUCGGCCUCCUUUCCAUUUCUCUUCUCUCCAUUUUCCUCAAGUUCUUACUUGAAUGUGAGACACACGGGCCACGACAUAGGUAAAAAUUAACGAUUAAGAUUUAAUUGAAUUAAAAUAAGAUUUUAAUUAUAAUUUAGAUAAUUAAUAAUUCAUAAGAAAAAUGACAAUACUACAAUCAUAACAAUAUAUUAUCUUGUUCAUAAAUAUAUUAUUUAAAAAAUACCUUUUUCUAAUCUUUUUCUUUCUAGUAUUAUCUUCUGUUUUUGUCCAUAAAUAUAUUAUAAAAUAAUUUCUCUUUUUCUAAUUUUUUUCCGUGCGAUUAUUUUUGCAAUUAAUUAUAUGUAAACUAGUUUUAAAGAGAAAAUUCAAAGUUGCUAUCUAAUACUUACUCAAAUUUAUUUUUUAAAAACGGAAGAUAAAUACUCGUAGGAAAAAAAAUAAGAAAGAGAAAAGUUUUUAUAAUAUAUUUAUGGACAAGAUAUUAUAUUGUUAUGACUUAUGAUUAUGUUAUUAUUAUUUUUCUUAUGAAAUAUUAAUUAUCUAAAUCAUAAUUAGAAUCUUAUUUUAAUCAAUUAAAUCUUAGCCAUUAAUUUUUAUCUAUGACAUGUGUCUCACAUCUAAGCAAGAACUUGGAGAAAAUGGAGAGAAGGAAAAUGGAGAGAAGCCGAAUCUGAAUAAAAUUGUCUUUGACAAAAAACUUUUACCAUAAAUUAAAAUUUCCAUAUUAUAAAUAUUCAAGGAAUUAAUUGGUACCCACAUAAAUUGUAUGUAGGGGUUCAAAAAUAAAAAUGGUGCCUAAAAUUUGAAGAACUUCAACAAUACUACUCACUUCAAGAAUGCUCAACUCAGAGGGUUCAUGCGGAAUUUAUGAGCAUGAACUACUCAACUCAAGAUACUUCUCAAAAGGGCAUAGGAACUCAACACUUAUAAGCUUAAAACUUGAAGAUACCACUUCUCUGAAAGAAGCUCAACUUACGAAGUUCAUACGGAAUUAUGGGCAUGAAACAACUCGACUCGAUGAUCUACAUAACAACAUGGACUCAUGUAUAUGAAUCUUCUCAUUCUCUUACUUACUUUCUCAGAACUUAGUUCAAAUCGAUAGUUGAUCUCAAAGGAUUCACAAUUGAACUCAAAAAUCGAUAGUUGAUCUCAAAGGAUUCACAAUUGAACUCAAAAAUCGAUAGUUGAUCUCAAAGGAUUCACAAUUGAACUCAAAAAUCGAUAGUUGAUCUCAAAGGAUUCACAAUUGAACUCAAAAAUCGAUAGUUGAUCUCAAAGGAUUCACAAUUGAACUCAAAAAUCGAUAGUUGAUCUCAAAGGAUUCACAAUUGAACUCAAAAAUCGAUAGUUGAUCUCAAAGGAUUCACAAUUGAACUCAAAAAUCGAUAGUUGAUCUCAAAGGAUUCACAAUUGAACUCAAAAAUCGAUAGUUGAUCUCAAAGGAUUCACAAUUGAACUCAAAAAUCGAUAGUUGAUCUCAAAGGAUUCACAAUUGAACUCAAAAAUCGAUAGUUGAUCUCAAAGGAUUCACAAUUGAACUCAAAAAUCGAUAGUUGAUCUCAAAGGAUUCACAAUUGAACUCAAAAAUCGAUAGUUGAUCUCAAAGGAUUCACAAUUGGGGUUGGAAAGUAGAUUCAAUUACCUUUAAUUGGAUAGGUUAUGGCUCACGUAACUCUUAAUAUUCUAACAGAUAUGGUCGUUUAAAGUUGACCUAAGCAGAAUCUUACUUCAAAACUUCAAGAACACUUAUCAAGAACUCAUCAAGAACUUAAAUCCUUAAAUUUCAAGAACGAAAUUACGCUGAAUAAAUCAUGAUUGGCGUGUGGGUGAAAGAACCCAACACUAUGGAAGCUUACAUACCUCUUAGGGAGUAAACCCAUGGCAAAAAUCCGCAACAUGCAAGUAUCUCGACGAACGCUUUCAUCCUUUCUCUUUUCUCUUCCUCUUUUCUCUUCUUGAACUCUCAACAAAAACCCUAGGCGUAAACUAGAAUUAUAAAACUGAACCUAGUCAGAUUAGACCCCUAAAAUAUUACUAAAACGAAUUAAAUCUGAUGGGUAAGGAAAAGACCAAAAUACCCCUCUAAAAUCCGGUUUUGACUUUCUUUAACUGGACAACCUAACUUCAAAAGGUCAUAUCUCACUCAUCCGACAUCGAAACUUAGCAAACUUGGCGGCGUUGGAAAGAUAAGUCAAAGGUAUUUCCUACGGUAUCUGGUAGCACACCUAACUCAUACUGAGCUAGGAGUUAUGGUCGUUUGAAGUCAACCCAAAAAUCAUACGUAGCUUAACUUGCAAAAUUUCAGAUUUUGCUAUUUCCAAUUUAGUUCUUUUUCGAACUAAAGGUGUUACAUUUAGUGAACUUAACACUUAAGAAAUUUUAAAUUUCUCGGCAAAAUCCUACUCACAACGAAGGAUGGUUCAAGUCUUAGCUCAAAAUUUUCUGAGGUGUUACAUAUUAGAGGGGAUAGGACAUCCGAAUACAUCAUUGGACAUCCAGAAACAUAGGUGAGGGAUGUAUCAGAGAGGAGAGAGAUGUAUCAGAGAGGAGGAUAAGGAUGUAUCAGCGAGAGGAGAGUAAUGUAUCCGAGAGAGGAUUUUUGAACUUUUUAAAAAUAAUACGGAAUUUUAGAGAUUAUGGUAAAAUAAGAUGUGUAUUUAGGUAAUUUUUCCAAAUUGGAACAUAGAACAUGAAUUUUGAAGUCCUCAAAUCACUGAAUUAACCUCCAGUCUUGCAAGAACGAAAUCCUUAGUCCACAUGCUAACACACGGGUCAACGUACAUUUAUAACUAGCCCCAUAGAGGUUAUACUAGUUCUAAUAUAACCAACAUUGCCACAAAUAAUUAGAUUGAAUCAAUAAAAAGAUCAUUAGAAAGUUUUUCACUAUUUCAUUGCAUGUGAAUUUGUUUUUCACCGUGCAUUUUUUCAAUGAGUUAUUUUUGGUGGAAAAUAAUGAAGAAAAAAAAUCUUAUUCAAUACAAAUUUAUCACUAAUUCGUAAUUGGGAAAAAACCUUUGUUUCUAGCAAUGAUGACUAGGAAAGAAAAUGGAAAUGAGCCUUAAUUAUAGUAUGUCACAAUAUGGUAGGGCCUAAAGUACAGUCAUUGUCCAAUAUUAUCUAUUGAUACGAUGUAUGGCUCAAAUUAAAUAGAAGAGUUCCACGAAAAUAUGGAUCAAUAAUAAUAAUUCCUAUCCAUUGUGUUGGCUACAAGAAAGCUAAUUAAUUAGUCAAUUUACUUUGGCUUCAAGGUCGUCAAACAUAACAGUCAUACCAAAAAAUUCAACAAAAACAGCCAAACCAAAUGAAUAAUGCAUGCAAAUUGCAAUGCCACGAAAUUUCUAAGCUCAUUCCCAUUUGUGCCUAUAAAUACCAUAAUAAUAUUGAUGAACCCAAUAUCAAUAUCUCCAUUUUAAGUUUGUUCCUUAUAUUUUGCUAAAAUCUGAAAUAUUAAUUCUUGCUUCACAUAGAAAUUACAUAUAUAUCAAGCAUGUCGGGUAGUACUUAUCUUGUUGAGACUUAUGCCAUGAAAAUGCUUUACAAGGAGAGGAUGAAGACAUUGGAGAAGGAAGAAGCUACAACACAUGAAAUUAUUUGUAAGGAUCAGUCGAAAGAAUCGUCUUCUUCUUCUGGUGGUUGGUUCACUAAAAUGUUCAAGAAAGUACAUCCCGUUACAACUUCCUCCUCGGAUUCUGCUACAAAAUCAAGAACGUUCUAGCGUCUAGAUAGUCUCACAUUGAUGGAGAAAACAAAUUGUUAUCUCGCGUACGUCAUGAACAAUAUUCACUUAAUUAGUUAUUUGAUUUUUUUUAUAUAAAAAAAAAAGUCGAAUUAGAUUCCAAAUUAAUUCUCCGUGAUUUCUACAAAAUUAGGAAACACGUAGAUCAAAGGUUUAUUUAUAUGAAAAAAAGAAUAUCAUUAUUUGUUUUGUUUGUCCUCUCAUUUAUGUGGAAUUUGAUUUAUUAAAUGAUCACGUACUUGAAUUUGGUUUUGUAAUCUUUCGUCCAUUUAUCGGAAAUUUCAGCAGUAAUAAGCCUGUUCACGAAAACAUUAUUUCAUGUAAUUAGCAGAAUACAAAAUUUAUUGAGUUCGAUUUCUACCACAAAAUAAAGCACCUACAUCAACCUCAUUUAUUUAUUUUAAUCGAAAGGCCGAGAGAUAAUCGAAACUUUGAAUUAUUCAAACACAUACGAAUCCUAAGUUCAAUAUCAUGACAAAAAGUGACGGACAUCCUAAAAGUUCUUUCCCUUAAAAGAAUGGAAAAGUAUUUUUACCUACUUUUGGACCUUUUUUUUUAAAGUCAAACACUAGAUCACAAUUUAGAAUAGUAAAUUUUAAAAGGCCAAAAAUAUAAACAUACCCUCAAAUUUGAUUUUCAUUUUUUUUAUUUUGGCACUUUAAGUUUGUUCCGGUGCUACACCAUUUAACUAGUAUCAAAAUGUAUUAUUUAUGUAAUUACUACGAAUUAAUCUAAGAUUUUUUAUAAAAAAAUAAAAUAAAAUAGACUCUUCCAUCACUUUCCACCGCCUUGUAAUCAAAGGUGCCACAACUAAAGAAAAUAAAAAAUUCUCCCCAUCAUUUCAAUUUUCAUUUAUCUGAUUUGAUCAAUUGAUUCUCGAUUAAUAAAUUAGAGCAUAAAAAACGAACUAAAAUCACAUGAAGGUCAAGUCAAAGUUUAGGAGUCAUUUGACCAUAGAUAAUACAAGUAGUUUUUUGGGUGAGAUUUGGUUAUAAAAUUUGUCAAAGUUUUGGCCAUUAUAUUUAGCCAGAAUCACAAGAUCCCAAAAUCUAGGUUCUUUUAUAAUUUUAAAACCUACUCCAAAUUUUUAUAUUUUAUAAAAUAAAAGGGCUCAUUAAUUAUGAAUCCAACUAUAAUUCUAUAUAUCCAAUUCCUCACUAAAUGCAUUUUUAUUAAAGAGAAUGUUAGUAGAAUAUUGGGAGAUUAUAUUAAAAGAUAUUUAGUUACUAAUGUUAUUAUUAUUUAUUAUUUGCAUUGAUGAAUUUUUGUAACUAACUGUAAUUUGACAAUUUGCAAUAUCUAGUAAAUUAUAUUAUUAGUAGUUUAAUUAAAAUAUUGUAUUAUAGUUUUUGAAUAAUAUAUUAUCUAAUGCAUUACUAAAAUAAUAAUUUUGUGUCGAACUUAUAAAUAUUUUUAAUAGUUCUUCAAACUCACCUCAAUAAUUGAACACUACCAAACCAUUAGACCCCACAAAACAUUUCAUUAAUAGAGUGGGAACUCUUUACGUAUUGCCCAAGCCUAUGAUAUAAACCUCUCCUAGUCCUCUAUCUAUAAAAAUAUCCCUAGUAUUAUUUUCUUCAUAUUCUUAACUCCAUUAAUUAAUUCUCUCCUUAAAUUCCUCCAAUAAAUGUGUAUUGCUUUGAAUAUGUGUUAAUUGGAAUUAUGGAUUCAACGAGCUACGUACACUGAUAUGAUGAUAAAAUUAUAUGCUUAAAUAUAUUAGUAUUUACUUUAUACUUCAUGUGUUAUAUAUUAGUUGAUCAUCUUACUAAAAAUAAUUAUCAAAUAUUAGUUGUCCACCUUACUAAAUCAAGAAAGCAUUUAAUUAAUUUUUUUUAAAGUGUUCACACGUUUGUUUGUGAAAUUCCGAAGAAGUGUUUUAAAGGGUGAAUUAGUAAAAUUAUCUUUUUAUUUAUGAUUUCUUAAUAUACAUAUAAAAAAAAAGAAAAAAUGAUCAACUAAUAUAGAAUGGAGGGAGUAUUGUACCUUACAAACAUGUAUAAAAAUAUCUCUAAAGGUCACAUGAAAUUCUUUAGCAAAAUUACUGAACUUAUAUUUGAUUUUUCCUACUCAAAUAAUGAAUAAAAACUUUAAAAAAGAAAAAGAAAAGUAAAGAUUACAUUUCAGAAAAAGAAGGAACCAAAAAAGAAAGAACUUGUUUAAUUAGGUCAUGGUAUUGGAUAUAUUCUGUGCUGUCCCAUGUGUUUAUUUUGUGUAUUUCAAAAUUUAAAACAGACAUUCCUUAAUUAAAGCCAACUUCAUCAGUAUAAGAUAAACUUCAAUAAUAUCGUUAUAUUAAUUAAUCCACAAUGAUGAAAAAGUCAUCACUAGUAUUUUUGGCCAAAAUAAUAAUUCGAAUUUUUCACAAUUAUAUUCUACGUACUCAUAGUUUACUAUAGUUCAUAUACACCUCAUUUUAACAUAAGUUUUCGUUGGAACUGAAUUCAAUGUUUUAUCAUAUUAUUUGUUUUUACAAUAAUUAUUUUAUUAUAAUUAUUAAAAAAUAUAUCAAAACUAAACGACGUUAUUAUUGAGUAAUUUGAUGUAAAUUGAUUUCUUAAGAUAGCAUCGAUCCUUAGCUUGUUGUCGAGAGGUCAAGUUAAAAGAAUAAUCCCAAUUCCUACUACACAAUUUACAAGGCACGAGAGAUUCAUUCGAUUUUUUUUGACGAAAAAUUACAUUGUUUAUAUAUAAUUUAUAAAUAUGAUACCUAUUGAACCUUUGGACUUCCUGUCUAUUUUCUAUAUUUUGAACUCAUCAAUAAAAAUUUUGAUUCCAUCAUUACGCCAUCUACCUUCCCAAAAAAAAAAAAAAAUCAAACUUAGUGCCUAAGGUAACAAGCUGGUCCCAGCAGCAAAAUUUAUCUCCAAAUACUGCCACUCAAGUUACGCGUAGAGAAAAUUAAAGGUCUACAUGUUUGCUGAAAAGGAAAAUAUUUUCUUUAGAAAAAUAAAUCCCUUAAUAUGCUAAACUUUGACAAUUCAAUACCACGAAAUUUCUUAGCUCAUUCCAUUUUGUGUGCUUAAAUACCAUAAUAAUUUUCAUGAACCAAUAUUAUCAUCUACAUUUUAAGUUUCUUGGCGUAAAAUCUGAAAUAUUACUUGCUGCUUCAAAAAUUCUUUGAAAAAAUGUCGAUAGCUAGUGGUCUUGUUGAGGCCCAUGUCAUGAAAAUGAUUCACAAGGACAAGAUGAAGAAUCUGGAGAAGAAAGAAGCUACAACACAUGAAAAUUGUAAUCAAUUGAAAAAGUCAUCGUCCUCUUCUUCUUCUUCUUGGUUUACUAAGAUGUUCAAGAAAGUACAUCCCGUUACUACUCCCUCCUCGGAUUCUUCUACAAAAAUCAAGAACGUUCUAGCUUCUAGCUAGACACAUUCUAGAGAGUCUUACGUUAAUGGAGAAAACAAAUUGUUAUCUCGUUAUGAACAAUAUUUACUUAAAUAAUUAGUGAUUUAAUUUAUUUUUGUUGAAUUAGACUCCAGAUUCAUUUACAGGACACAAAAUUUGUUAAAGUAUUUUCUUUUACUUUUCUCUCUCGUGUAUAUGGGAUUUGAUUAAUUAAAUAACACAUACUAUCAGAAAUUUCAGCAGUAUAUAUUGAUGAGCUUAUCAGUUACACUAUGUUUAAAUUUUAUAUUUCUCUGUCAAUUCGAAAAUUAUAUUCACCGUCAACCGUCAACAUAAUAUAUAAAUAAUAUCUUUAACCUAUCCUGACCAUGAAAGGAAAUUAAUCUAAGGAAACUCGUUACUAUAGGAAGUAAAUCCAUUAAGCUUAACAUAUUAAAAGUUAAUAAUUUCUUGUGCAAUGAACUCUCUAGAUGCCUAAAAAUAGUAAGGAUCAUAUAGGCUAAAAUAAUAGAAGUGAGUGUUUAACCUAAAAACUCUUUAAUUAAAAGUUGUUUUACCAACUGGUCAAUUAUGAGAUCAGAAUCAAAUUAACUCAUGAAAAUUCAGUAAAGUUUAAUUUGUUCAGUAUUAUGGUUGAUAGCAUUUUUAUCCCUUAAUUAUUGUAAUCUUUUUGAAGCUUAGUCAUUAUAAUAUAUGACUUAAGUAUAAAUAUGCACUUUUGAUUCUUUUGCUCUGAAUGAUCAUAAAUUUUGUGACGUAUUAACUAUUUCAUUAUUUAUGUGAUAUUUGUUAAACGUGUAUUGUUACUUUAUAUUUGGGGGAUCAGAAUUUACUAAUAGAAGGAUAAAAAAUGUUAGUGCAUGUCCCUAGUCUUCUAUUAUUAAUCAAUAAGUUUUUCCUUCACCCCAUCUGUUAUGAGAAGUGAACGUAAAUGAACGAAGCUGAAUUAACACAAAAUCUCCAUUAAUAAGGAGCUAACAUUGAAGGAGAGAAACUCUCAUUGUUUGAGCUCAAAGACUAACUGUUACAAUGCUGGAAAAUACUAUUUAUAGAUUCUAUCUUCUAACUAACUAACUAACUUGAAAUGAAUUAGUUAUAACAAACAAUACAAAAUGUCUAUACUACCCUUGAUCAUCUAGUGAAUUAACCAACUACUCACUACAUCACACUCAUAUCUCAUCACUCCCCUUCAAGUUAGGUGGGGCAAAAAUGUUCAAGACACCUAACUUGGACAAGAGAUAUUCAUGUUGAUAUUUUGAUAGCCCUUUUGUCAAUACAUUUGCAGGCUGCUCUUGUGUAGGAAGGUAGUUAACCUUGAUCAAACCUUGUUGUAGUCUUUCUCUUAUAAAAUGACAAUCGAUCUCAAUAUGCUUUGUCCUUUCAUGAUAUAUCAGAUUUGCAGCAAUCUGUAUGACAGCUUUACUAUCACUAUACACUUGCACUGGUAGCUGCACUUCAGCUUCUAUUUCUUUAAGUAAUCCAAGUAACCAAAUUAACUCUGAAACAAUGGAUGCAAGGCUCCUGUAUUCAGCUUCAACUAAGGCUGGCAAUUGGACAUGAUUUUUUCCGGUCCGGUCCGAUUCCCGUACCGGUAAGUCCGGUACCGGUUGAACCGGUAAGGAACCAGUCUUAUAGGUACCGGAACCGGUACCGAAAUGGAACCCGAUUUUUUAUUCGAUUGGUCCGGUUCGGUAAGAACCGAUUCCGGUCCGGUUCCUGUCCGGUUGAUCCGGUUCAACGGUCAAGUAAUUUAUUUAUUUAUUUUUUAUUUAUUUAAGUUGAAUGUUAUAUAGCCUUUGGACCCUUUUAGCCAUUGGGUUGUGGCCCAAAACGGCUCAAAAUAGCCCCCACCCCUCUCUAACUCCUUUUAGCCGUUGGGCUGGGGCCCAAAACGGCUCCAAACAGCCCCCCACCCCUCUCUACCCCUUAACACUAUAAAUAUACUCAUAUUUUUUCAUUUAAAUCACAAAUUCACAAACUAUUUCAUUAAUAUCUUAUAAUAUCUCUUAAUUUUCAAUCUCUGAUAAAUUCAUAAUUAUUAUUUUGUGAUAUUGACUUGGAGUUCGAAUUUCGGAGAUUUAUUUGAAGUAAAUCGGAAGCUUCAAUUGGCAUCUCUCAAUUCCGGCUUUGGUUAUACGUCUACUUUUACGUAGACGUUCGGUACAUUCGUUCCAACUUUAAUUUUUUAUUUGUUUAUUAAUUAAGUUAUUUUAUUUUUUUUGUUAUAUUAUCUUGCUUGUUUUUCAUAAUAUUUAAUUAUUUUAAACUUGAACAUGAAUUUGGAAAUAAAUAGUGGUAAAAGACUAAUGUCGGAAAGAAAAAAUAAUAGGGGAGGAGGAAGUAGUUCUAGUUCUAAAAAUUUGGCACGUAGAUUUAGAAUUAAUACUAAUGAUUAUACUCAUGUUGAUGAAACUUCUUUUACACGAGACUCACGACCUAUUGAAUUUAAUUCCGAAAAUGAAGUAGAUCAUGAAACUUUAAAUAGAUGUUUUACUAAUUUUGAGGAAGAAUUAGAUGAGGAAGUAGAAAUAAAUAACGAAGAUGAUGAGACCUCUACUCCUACUAGUCUUGCUACUAAAUUUCCGGAACAAGAUGAAGUCCCCUCGUUACCUACUUUUUCAAAGGCCGCUGUACGUGUUAAAAGAUCUUUAGUAUGGAAAUUUUUGGUACAAAAUGAGGAAAAAACUACUGUUACUUGCACGAAAUGUAAAUUGACCAUGAAACAUGUGACUAUGGGUACUACAAGGGGGAAACGGGACGACUAAGAAACGCAUUUGAGAAAUUGUAAUAAAGAAUUUGCUCGCCUAGAUGAUAUAGAAAGGGCUAAUAGAAGUGGAAUACCCAUACCUGAAAAAUUCUAUGGGAGUUAGAGGUUCUAAUAAUGGUUCAAAAGUGUAUUAAAUAUGACUAACCCGGCUAGCCGAAGCACACACCGCACAUCUAGUAAAGAAAAAGAUCGUAUAGAAUUAGCUAAAAUGGUUGUUGUUUGUGGUUUGCCUUUUUUAUUUCCUUCACAUUCUGAUUUUAUUCAGUAUAUUCGGGAAUUANNNNNNNNNNNNNNNNNNNNNNNNNNNNNNNNNNNNNNNNNNNNNNNNNNNNNNNNNNNNNNNNNNNNNNNNNNNNNNNNNNNNNNNNNNNNNNNNNNNNNNNNNNNNNNNNNNNNNNNNNNNNNNNNNNNNNNNNNNNNNNNNNNNNNNNNNNNNNNNNNNNNNNNNNNNNNNNNNNNNNNNNNNNNNNNNNNNNNNNNNNNNNNNNNNNNNNNNNNNNNNNNNNNNNNNNNNNNNNNNNNNNNNNNNNNNNNNNNNNNNNNNNNNNNNNNNNNNNNNNNNNNNNNNNNNNNNNNNNNNNNNNNNNNNNNNNNNNNNNNNNNNNNNNNNNNNNNNNNNNNNNNNNNNNNNNNNNNNNNNNNNNNNNNNNNNNNNNNNNNNNNNNNNNNNNNNNNNNNNNNNNNNNNNNNNNNNNNNNNNNNNNNNNNNNNNNNNNNNNNNNNNNNNNNNNNNNNNNNNNNNNNNNNNNNNNNNNNNNNNNNNNNNNNNNNNNNNNNNNNNNNNNNNNNNNNNNNNNNNNNNNNNNNNNNNNNNNNNNNNNNNNNNNNNNNNNNNNNNNNNNNNNNNNNNNNNNNNNNNNNNNNNNNNNNNNNNNNNNNNNNNNNNNNNNNNNNNNNNNNNNNNNNNNNNNNNNNNNNNNNNNNNNNNNNNNNNNNNNNNNNNNNNNNNNNNNNNNNNNNNNNNNNNNNNNNNNNNNNNNNNNNNNNNNNNNNNNNNNNNNNNNNNNNNNNNNNNNNNNNNNNNNNNNNNNNNNNNNNNNNNNNNNNNNNNNUUGAACCUCCAUCUUGUAGGCCUAGAAGUGAUGAUACGGAUGAUUGGAUGGAUGAUUAUCUUGAGCUUGAAUCAUCUACUAAUAAUGAUUUUGAUUUAUAUUUCAAUCAGGCACGGGAAAAGAUUAGGCAUGAAGAAGGACAACUUCAAGCUCCAAUAUUAGUAUGGUGAAAGAAUCGUGAAAAU